GUUAGAAAUGGAACAUAUUGUUUUUCAUAACUGUUUCUUUAAGCAAUAACCUCAGUGCAUAAUAUGUUUGCGCCAUUUUGUCCCAGACGAAUUACAAUAACAAUAAUGCAUAAACAAGCUUCAAGGCUAUUCUACGACACUUGCAGUACCCAAUAUACUGUGGUAACCCCAAGUUAAUGGAACUUCCCCAAAUCCGGGAAUCUCCCACGACUGUACACUUACGACUUAGUAUAAACAACAGAUAACCUAUUCAGACUUUAAGAUGCCAUCUUGAACUAAGUCAGGAAAAUUUCCAUGACGUUUGCACCCUUUAGUUAUGGCCUUGUAUGUUUGCCAAAUUAAGGGAGGUCCUAAAAUGAAUACAGUAAAAGAACUACAAUAACCCCAAAAUGGAGACACCUAAGGUAUAAAUAGGUGUACUUUUAAAUGUUAAGACACAGAGGAGAGACUUGGAGACAGACGCUGCUCCAUCUUAAAAUGACAGAGAGGCUGACAUGAUGACAUGUUCAGAAGGGUAUGUUAACCUAUUAAUG
This 533-nucleotide long non-coding RNA is filed under the name Pelobates cultripes (western spadefoot toad). The record is from RNAcentral. Lineage: Eukaryota; Metazoa; Chordata; Amphibia; Anura; Pelobatidae.